CCCCAAACGGCCAAAACCAAACCCCGUGAAUUGAUUUAAAUCACUGUUCGCCAUCGCCUAGGGUUUUUCUCCAACUUUAGGGUUUCAGGCGUGUUCAUCGAUUUGAUUCAAGAUGUCCAGAGUGUAUGUUGGGAAUCUAGAUCCUCGAGUCACGGAACGGGAGCUUGAGGAUGAAUUUCGCGUUUUUGGAGUCAUCAGAAGUGUGUGGGUUGCUAGAAGGCCCCCUGGUUAUGCAUUCAUCGAUUUUGAUGACCGAAGAGAUGCCCAAGACGCCAUCAGAGAACUUGAUGGUAAAAAUGGCUGGAGGGUUGAGCUUUCACACAACUCUAGAGGUGGAGGUGGUGGUGGCCGUGGCGGGGGUCGCGGACGGUCUGGUUCUGAUUUAAAAUGCUAUGAAUGCGGCGAGCCUGGUCAUUUUGCUCGUGAGUGCCGAAUGCGGGGAGGUUCUGGAAGGCGUAGGAGUCGCAGCCCCCCUAGAUAUCGCCGGAGCCCAAGUUAUGGUCGAAGGAGUUACAGUCCUCGUGCACGUUCCCCUCCUCGACGACGCAGUUUGUCACCCAGAGGUCGCAGCUUCAGCAGGUCGCCUUAUCGCGGACGAGAGGAGGUGCCAUAUGCCAAUGGAAAUGGCGCUAGGGAAAGGCGCAGGAGCAGGAGCUGAAGUUGGACAAAUUAUUAGUAAUUUUGAAUCCAUGCAGAAGUUUUCGAAUUAUGUGUUUACUGUGCUUGGACUUAGUUACGGCUAUGUAGUGAGGUGCCACCCUCAGCUUCGACUCGUGGAUUUGGUUGUGUCUUUACUGCUUCAGUAGUUCUACCUGGUACUGCUUCAUUGGUUUUGAUGCAUCUGCACUUCUCUUUCGAUCUUCAUUGCCCUGCUGUGGGAUCUUCAAUUUGAAAGAUUGUGGAUCCCAGCUGGCUACACUGCUAGAUGCUUCUUUUGAUUGCAUGUCUGCGGAUGUGAUUCGCCUCUCGUCAAAUAGUUAUUCGAUUAGAUUUAAGAAUGAAGAGCGCUUCACGCACUUCCGGCAGUUAAUCCAUCGCUCGGAAGUCAUGAUGACUGGUUCCUUUAACAGUCCUUAAGAUUGUUCCUGUCAAAAAUGGGUUUUGGCCACUAUCUUUGCCUGAGUUGCAAGUUGAGAAAUUAAAGGCUGGUUUAUAGAGCUGAAAGCUGUUACGCUGGAGUAUAUGGCAGUUACAGCCUUUCAUUGGCGCUGGUUAGUUCCUUGUUGAAAUAGAAUCUUGUGUCAGUCUGGAUCAGGGUAAGUUUUCUUCUGCUGUAGGGCAAACCCUGUUCGUCAACGGGAUGGGAAUGAACUUGCUCUAUUUGUUUGGGCUGUUUCGGUGGUGGUGAUUGGGUCAGUGAUACACUCCAAAUCUGUCUUAUAUCUUGACAAGUAAAAGACCAUUAAAGCUCGAUGAUGACAGUUAGUUGAAGUUUGUCUCCCCUAAAUCUGCCUCCUGAUCUGUUUUCUUUAGCCUUCCCAAAAGUUUAGCAUUUUGCUGGGUUUGCCUGAAGUCCAAACUUGAUUGUCUUCAACAAAGAUCUCUGCAAUCGGCCCGUCGUCGCAUUUGUGCUUCACUGUGACACCUUGGCUUGGUUUUUUGCUUUCUGUUACUGAAUUCUUUUCCAAUUCUGUUCCUGAUAGCUGGAAUCUAUGUUAUUAAAAUUCUAAAUCGUCUAUUUUCUUUUGAUUAUAUUUUGCAUAAUUUUCCUUGGCCUGUAGAUUU
This is a non-coding RNA of Sesamum indicum (sesame), 1725 nucleotides long. The record is from RefSeq and is a predicted model, not a curated record. NCBI's taxonomy places the organism in Eukaryota, Viridiplantae, Streptophyta, Magnoliopsida, Lamiales, Pedaliaceae.